Long non-coding RNA from Oncorhynchus masou masou (cherry salmon), 489 nucleotides. RefSeq lists it as uncharacterized. The record is from RefSeq and is a predicted model, not a curated record. Lineage: Eukaryota; Metazoa; Chordata; Actinopteri; Salmoniformes; Salmonidae. The transcript has 3 exons.
ACUCUGGCUCCUCAACAAGCUACACAUUAAACCAGAGAGGGAGAGAGAGAGAACGUUCUCAUGCUCUAUGUUCCCCAGGUACCUUGCUGUUAUUGUUUUUAUGGCCCCAGCAUUGUAAAGGCAGAUAUUCCUGACCUUGGGAGUUGGACUUUGUCAUGUGACAUUCUCAAAACACUUGGUACUAUAGAAGUCAAACAGAACAGCAGGUUGCUGAUCAUCAUCUUCAAUACCUCAAAUAUCUUCCAGAAGGAUGAUGGACAAUCAAAGAUGCUGGCUGGACACCGGUCCCUAGGUCAAGUUCAGUCUCUGACCCCCACCCCUCACCUUUGACCCCUCACCUCGGAUGGAAGAACGCACCCAUUCCUUUAGGAGACUCCAUGAAAUGAUGACAUCCUUCCUAAAUAUUUGGUCAAAUAAUCCAUUUUUGUGUAUGGUUUCCUAGAAACAAGGAUGGCUCAAUGUACCCCUUUUUUUGCUCAACUUGCACCA